This is a long non-coding RNA of Varanus komodoensis (Komodo dragon), 2300 nucleotides long. RefSeq lists it as uncharacterized. NCBI's taxonomy places the organism in Eukaryota, Metazoa, Chordata, Lepidosauria, Squamata, Varanidae. The record is from RefSeq and is a predicted model, not a curated record. The transcript has 2 exons.
GUUUCCUGCUUUAUUCCGCGUUCAGGCGCUCAAAACCAUCGGUCCGAAGCCCCAAACCCGGGCGGGGGAAUUCGGGGAGUGUCACCCCCAUCUCCGCCGGCUCAACAGCUUCUUCUCACCCCGAAGAACGGAGACAAUUUGUCCUGAAGAAUAUUCUCGAAGAAGCAUCAUCAGUACCUGGCAGAAGUUUUCCUGUCCCCUUCACAUUGGCUUCUGUAUCAACCUGGAACUGAUAUGGACUUAAUUAGCACUGUUACCAUUUGAUAUUCACAAAAUGCAUUCAGUGCUGAGAAGGUGGAAAAUAUUGUUUAUUGUGGCACAAAUGUUACAUAAGCAAAACUAAACUGGCAAUUGUUGAUGGUCUAAGUAUUUGCCUUCUUUCCUGUGAAAUGCUUAACUAAGGUCUGAUAUAACCCACUGCCUCCAGAAACCACAUACUGCAAGUAGCUGAGUGGAGUCCACUUGUGUGUAAUUCCAGUGCCACUUGAUCUCAGAUUGAAUACAGCUGUUUCUGGAAGGUCCCAAAGUUUGUUUGAGACCAUAACUAAACAAACAGCAUCAUGAAGACCAAGGAACUAUCAAAACAAUUCUGGGAUAAAGUUGUGCAGAAGCACCAAUCAGGACUGAGGUUUUUUAAAAAAAAAUACCCCAAACCAUGAACAUUCUUCCAGAGUACAAUUAAAUCCUUUACAGAGAUAAUAUAGCUUAACUACAACUCUGCCUUUAGAAGGCCAUCCGUCAAAACUCUGUGACUGGGUAAGGAGGUCAUAAAUCAGAGAAGCAAUCAAGAGGUCAGUGGUAACUCUGAAGAACCCAGACAAAUCUGCAACUGAGAUGAGAGAAACCAUUCAUGGGACAACCCUCACCUGGACACUCCACAAAGCUGGGCUUUAUGGAAGAGUAGCAAGAAGAAAGCUAUAGUUGAAACAAGCCCAUUGAAAAGCCCAUCUGGAGUUUGCAAAAAGACACAUGGAAGGCAUAGCAAACAUAUGGAAAGGUUCUCUGAUCUGAUGAGACUAAAACUGACUUUUUUUCCCUUGCUACAAAGCCCUAUGUGUGGUGCAGGGCCAACAGUGCGUGUUGCCUGAAUGCACCAUCCCUAACCCUAAGAUGCCAUAACGGUUGAAACUUUAUUCAGGAAAAACAGAACGGGAUUAUGAUCAAGGGUAUAAAAACAAAUCCAGACUAGCAAGUCAUCAUUCCCUUAUUCAAUGUCAGGACAAGAAGCUUAGUUACCAUAGUUCAAACACCCACUCACAUAGUAAUCCAUGAACAGGUAGGCAUGGUUACUGUCAGUCAGAAGUCAAAGAAAGCCCCUCUCUUUCUCCUGCAGUGUCAACUGGCAUAUACAAAGGUGUUAAGCAAGAUGUUCCCAAGCAAGGAAACCUUCUAGCUUCAGCUAAGUUUACUUGGAGAUUUUUUUUUCCUGAAAGCAAACAAAAGCUGUGAUGUUACAUUUCACACUUGACAAAGACUUAGAUGGGGAUCAAAGACAGUUGUCUAAUGUGGAUAAUACAAAACUGGUUCAUACAUGACUGUGAAGUCAGAGGUAUUAAUUCUCAAUUUCUGCCCAUCUGGUUUGGAUGUAGUAACUAUAAAGGCUGAACUAAUGAUAUGGUUCAUUUCCACAUGAACACUGACCACCGAACUUCAUGACGUUUGGGGCUGGAAAGAACCAUAUUAUCUCACAGGGUUCAUACCUUCAAACUUUACUAAAGCAGUGUGAGGAAAAUAAUCACAAGUUAGAGACCACCUUGCUGCUGCAGUAAAAUUUGGAAUUGGCAUUAACCCUUAUCAAAUGUAAGAGGGAAACUAUCUUCCUAACAUCAAAACAAAAUGGCUGUGAAAUUUAUAGAAUACAGGACCAAACCAUUUGCCCGAGACUUACAUUUUUCUUACUCUUGUGUAAAUGCAUGCGGUCCCAUACAGAUGGAGAGGGAUGUGGAGACUGCCCAGUAUACUAUAUGCACACUUUUACUUUGUUCUUAGUAGGCCUGACAUUAUCAAAAGAAAUCUUGCACUUGGGUCAAGAAACCAAAACAAAGACAAAAAUAGCACAAUUUACUAUCCACAAUAUAAGUUAAACAACUUUAGAAGUGAUACUUUCAUAAAGGAAUUUGUAGCAUUCCAAACAAAGCACAAAUUGCAUUAAGUUGCAAUAACUAGAAAUAAAUGUUGUAUUAAGACUAACCUUUGAGUUCCACAAAAAUUUAAACUGCCACUUUUAAGAAUGUGAAUGCUGAAAGUAAAGCGCAUAGGUGACUCUAUUAAAGUGAAAUAAAAUUUAAACUCCUAAAAUC